This 43-nucleotide ribosomal RNA is filed under the name Heterocapsa steinii. Its description in RNAcentral is "partial large subunit ribosomal RNA". Lineage: Eukaryota; Dinophyceae; Peridiniales; Heterocapsaceae. The record is from RNAcentral.
GACAUGAAGUUAGGUCAGCAAACCCGCUGAAUUUAAGCAUAUC